Aedes aegypti (yellow fever mosquito) is the source of this 3281-nucleotide long non-coding RNA. RefSeq lists it as uncharacterized. The record is from RefSeq and is a predicted model, not a curated record. The transcript is spliced from 3 exons. NCBI's taxonomy places the organism in Eukaryota, Metazoa, Arthropoda, Insecta, Diptera, Culicidae.
CAGCUCUCGCUGCUCGAUUGGCUCAAACUUUGACAGAAAUGUCAGCUUCCGCGAAUCUCUCUUAUAAAGGAUUACUACUCAGAAGUAGUUUAUAGCCAAAUUACCGUGUUCAAUUAAAGGACAGGUGAAAACCAUUUAAAGUUAAAAGGAAAGCUAUUGUUAGGAAUAUUCUUCGAAUUCGAUAAAUACACUGAAAUUGUAAGUGAUAACUUUAACUAUACCAAAUGAUCUCCAAUCAGUAAUAAAUAAUUAUCUUUUAGCUUGUAGCUGCUGCUAAUGAGAAUCAGCGUUUUAUUCAAAUAUUCCUCAACACAACGUGUAAAUCCAUUAUAGUGCUAAGUAACCGCAAGCUAAACAUUGGUUACAAAUGGCAGAGAUCGAGAAAUUAAUCAAGACUUCAUAAUUUUCCACAAUCAACCUAUCACAGAAGAAGAGCCUAAAGGUAUUAACAUAAUUUCAAACCUUCCUAAAAAUACCCUAUAAUAGUUUCCCCAUCUAUUAUUUCAAUAAUUUAUAAUCUUCAGAGUUUUCUUGCGGCUCUCUAUUAAGUUUAUGAAAAUUUGUGGUAGUAAUUUAUCAAGACGUUUAUUUUAUUGAGAGGUCUCUUUUCUUAUUUUUUGAGGAACAUAUGAAGAAAUUACUUUAGAAACAUUGAAUCAUCUUGAAGUGGUGAUUGAAACGUAAUGGUUGGAACUAAGAAACUUAUAUUCAGGUCUUUACAGGACAAAGGUUGGAUUGGGAAUGAUCAGAAUUUUGACUUGUUAGUUUGUCUAAACAAUUGGGUAACUAGGGAGAUGUGUUGAUCGGUAACUAGAUUAAACUCAAAAAGGAUGAUUACUUCGAUCUUCAACACCCCCUCGUAAUCAGCCUAACCUAAAAAAAGUACUACAUAUAUCUCUACUUUACAGAAUCGAACAUUGUUGACGACGAUCUCUUCAAUUGGGUUUAUAAGCUGGGAUACCAAAACCAUUUCCGAUUCCAUGUAUCCAUUUUGGCUUCUUGUUAUCCGGUGAUCUUUUCACGUGAAUAUACCAGUAUGCUAGUAACGAGUUGUCGAACGACGCUUUCAUAACUUUCAAGCGUGUUGAUUCGUCAGCUUAAGCAUUAUUUCCAGGGAAUACCAAAACCACAUCCGGAUGAGGGCAGGUUACUUCCAAGCGUUUCGCAGACCACUGAUGCACUGCUCUCGAUCUUGAUGCAAGUAAAACGCAACUGGAACGUCUUGAGCAGAAUCCUCAAUUGAUUGAAGUUGAUUUUCUUUCGUCACCACACCGUCGGAACAAACGCUUCCUUGAUCUUCUUCGAAAAUUUCCCCCUCUUCCAGCAUCAACUAGAUUCAUUUUGUCAUCAGGAACCAUCUCCAUCGCCGCUUGAUCUUUCAUCCUUGAAUGGUCUAGCUGCCGGCUCCAAGAACUAGCGUUUUCCUCGGUGCACAUUUCUUCUCCAUAUAACGUCCAUCUCGUACAAAUCGUCACUAAUGGGACACACGCCAAUAGUAUCGCCAUUGAAACUUAUCUCAGCCGUUGUUGCUUCAAACGUUACCUUUAUUUCAGCUUUUGCCAUCAUCUUCACCGAUAGCAGAUUCGCUCGUACAUCCGAAACGUAUACAGUACGUUGUCGAUUGUACACGUUACUCCCCGGCUGCUGGUUCCUUCAAUUCGUCCUCUAUGCCAUGCAAUUAACGAUUGAUUGUCCUUUGCCACAGAAAUAACAACAGGUUGCUUCAAUUUCUCCAAGGAAACAAAAUAUUCCUGCCGAUUCACUAGCUGAUAACUAGCACCGGAGUCCUGAUUGAAGGUAACUGUUCUUCGGCUACUGCUAUCCGUCGACUUAAGGCUCAUGAACGCAACUGCUUUUCUGUUGGCCGUCACAUUCGCUUCCGCUCGUAGUUCGCUUCUGCAGUCCUUCACUUUAUGGCCCUUUUUGUUACAUCGAUGACAUCGUCCCAGGAACUUAUCGCUUCGUUCUUCAAACCAUGCCUUCUGCUGAUUUCCAACGAACGCGAACGGCUCCUUCUGAUUUACUUCGGUUAUUCGAUCAGAUUUCUUCAUUUCUUCCGCUAAUAAUCUCUCUCUGACGACACCCAGGCAGUGUUGCCACAUUUCUAUCUGUACCGAAGGCUCAAAAAUCUUUUUUAUCUGUACCAGAGAUUCUAAAAAUCUGUACCCAAAAUCUGUACCACACCCAACAUAAAAUUUGCAAAGAAACCCUAAAAAUCCUGAAUAAUUUGGGAAUUUAGCACAGUUUAAAUUGAAAUAAUUUCACCUAUUACACACUUAGAUUUUAUUUCGUUGUUCGGUAAAUUUUGUUACCGAAAACGUGCUGUAAAUAAAUAUUCAACUGAUGUUUCGGUAUUCCAAACAAGCUUUACCGAAAAACCGUACACAAUUAGAAAAAAUCAAAGGAUGUUUGCUUGUUUUCACCGCAGUCGUUAUUUCAUUUACCGAAAAACUUGUAAAUCGUUUAGAUUCACCGUAGUCAGUAAAAGUUUACCGUACUUCGGUAUCUAGUGCUACAGCGCUUUACCGAACAAAUGGUAAUUUGAGAUUUUCAGACCGCCAUGUUUAUUUGUGCAAGCAAGAACUGUGAGAAUGGAAAAUGCACUGUCGAGCAUCGUCCAAGACUGAACCCAUCCAAAAUGGAAUCGGCACCAUUGUUGUCCGCUAGAAGGGCUGAAUAACGGCAAACGUCCCACAAGAUUCGGCGGUGGAGUGGCGAUAGAGUGGAUAAUUAUGGCGGUGAAUUUGCAGCUUGCCUUUGGGUUGAUCGUGGCUAACAGUGAAAUUAUAUUGAUAAAAAAAAUAAACAUGUUGAACCGAAUAAAUAAACGAUCUAGGAAUGAAUUAGGUUGUUUCUUUAUCAUAAUGAAUUGCCAUAAUAAUUUUGUUUUUGAUCAUCCUAUCCAAUUCUGACUGCCUGCAAAUAUGAACAAUGCGUUCGGUAAUUAAUUUCACAAAUCCUUCGGUAAUAAUUAACGAACGAUUUGUAAUAUUUUGACAACUGCGUUUUGACUCCAAUUACGGAUUGCUCGGUUGUUCUUAACUUUACCGGAAGCAUUACCGAACGCUCAGCGGUUUAUAUUUCGGUAAAAAAAUUACCGGAGUCGGUGAUAUUUUCUAAGUGUGUAUAUAAUUAUUUUUUAAUUUUAUGGAAACAGUAUAUCUCAAUAAUAGUUUUGUGGAAAUAAGUUCCGAAUUUCACGCAUCUCUUCAAUGUUGUGUUACGAAAAUCGCCUAUUCCAAAAAUCUGUACCAAUCUGUACUUUUUCGUGAAAAUCUGUA